RNAcentral lists this ribosomal RNA (253 nucleotides) under uncultured bacterium. RNAcentral's name for it is "partial 16S ribosomal RNA". It matches the Rfam family "Bacterial small subunit ribosomal RNA", at positions 524 to 776 of the family's 1533-position model. The record is from RNAcentral.
UACAGAGGGUGCGAGCGUUGUCCGGAAUCACUGGGCGUAAAGGGAGCGUAGGCGGUCUUAUAAGUCAGGUGUGAAAAAUCUGGGCUCAACCCAGUGGAGCACCUGAUACUGCGGUGACUCGAGUCCGGUAGGGGCAUGCGGAACUGUAGGUGGAGCGGUGAAAUGCGUAGAUAUCGCCUGGAACGCCGACGGUGAAAACAGCUCGCUGGGGGUCUUCUGACGCUGAGACACGAAAGCCAGGGGAGCGAACGGG